Molecule: ribosomal RNA, 308 nt
Filed under: Escherichia coli
Lineage: Bacteria; Pseudomonadati; Pseudomonadota; Gammaproteobacteria; Enterobacterales; Enterobacteriaceae
Description: partial 23S ribosomal RNA
Rfam family: Bacterial large subunit ribosomal RNA
Source: RNAcentral
CGAUCACAGGCGAUGAAGGACGCGGUAGCCUGCGAAACGCUACGGGGAGCUGGCAAACGAGCUUUGAUCCGUAGAUGUCCGAAUGGGGAAACCCACUCCUUUUGGAGUAUCCAUGGCUGAAUACAUAGGCCAUGCGAAGCGAACGCGGUGAACUGAAACAUCUAAGUAACCGCAGGAAAAGAAAUCAACCGAGAUUCCCAAAGUAGUGGCGAGCGAAAUGGGAUGAGCCUUGUACUCUUUAUUUGUAUUGUUAGCCGAACGCUCUGGAAAGUGCGGCCAUAGCGGGUGAUAGCCCCGUAGGCGAAAAC